Molecule: ribosomal RNA, 237 nt
Filed under: uncultured bacterium
Lineage: Bacteria
Description: partial 16S ribosomal RNA
Rfam family: Bacterial small subunit ribosomal RNA
Source: RNAcentral
GUUGUCCGGAAUUAUUGGGCGUAAAGAGCUCGUAGGCGGUCUGUCGCGUCGGCUGUGAAAACUCGGGGCUCAACUCCGAGCCUGCAGUCGAUACGGGCAGACUAGAGUGCGGUAGGGGAGACUGGAAUUCCUGGUGUAGCGGUGAAAUGCGCAGAUAUCAGGAGGAACACCGGUGGCGAAGGCGGGUCUCUGGGCCGUAACUGACGCUGAGGAGCGAAAGCGUGGGGAGCAAGCAGG